Bombina bombina (fire-bellied toad) is the source of this 409-nucleotide long non-coding RNA. RefSeq lists it as uncharacterized. The record is from RefSeq and is a predicted model, not a curated record. NCBI's taxonomy places the organism in Eukaryota, Metazoa, Chordata, Amphibia, Anura, Bombinatoridae. The transcript has 3 exons.
UUAAAAUAUUUUGUAACAGAAUUAACAGAGGAUUUUCUUUAACUAUCACAGCACAAAACUUUCAACUCCAACAGCACACCUGCUGAGACAACGCUGAAACAACAACCAACUCAUGUUCACUUAAAUCUGUGACUUCACAUGCUUACCUGGAACAACAAUGCUGCAGGAUUUAUUACAAGCUUCAUUUGAUUACAGAAGUUUCCCAGAGCUAGUCUGGAUCUCUACUUUCUCGGUUUGCCAUUGGACUGUCCCACAGGGCUCUCCAGUGACGAUUGGACACGGAACUAAUGACCCUUUAACCCGGAUAUACUGGAGAUGGCAGAGCAACCCGGCAUGAGUGGAGGAGAUGACAAGCAGGCAUGCUGAUCUCUUGAUUUGUCUACUUUAAUGAGAGAAGCCACAACUUGCU